GAAGCCGGAAUUGCUAGUAAUGGCAGGUCAGCAUACUGCCGUGAAUACGUUCCCGGGCCUUGUACACACCGCCCGUCACACCAUGAGAGUUGGGGAUACCCGAAGCCUGUGAGCUAACUAUUUAUAGGAGCAGCAGUCGAAGGUAGAAUCAAUGAUUGGGGUGAAGUCGUAACAAGGUAAC
RNAcentral lists this ribosomal RNA (181 nucleotides) under uncultured bacterium. Its description in RNAcentral is "partial 16S ribosomal RNA". It matches the Rfam family "Bacterial small subunit ribosomal RNA", at positions 1322 to 1500 of the family's 1533-position model. The record is from RNAcentral.